This is a long non-coding RNA of Dalotia coriaria, 395 nucleotides long. RefSeq lists it as uncharacterized. The record is from RefSeq and is a predicted model, not a curated record. The transcript is spliced from 2 exons. NCBI's taxonomy places the organism in Eukaryota, Metazoa, Arthropoda, Insecta, Coleoptera, Staphylinidae.
CCACCAUCAACCACCUGUUUGAGGCCCCCUGGAAGUUUAUUUCAAAUGCUGGCAAGCCAAACACAACUGGGAUGUAUUGUUUAUAACAUUGGCUAAGUGCUCAGUGCAUUUGUUAGGAUUUUUAUGUUUUCCUGUUCUGUUGGAUGUAAUUUCACCUGGAAAAUGUUCUAGUAUGGAUUAGGAAUAGUUAAUGAAGGUUUCCCUGCAAUGGAUUAGAGUAUAAACAAUUUCAUACUUUUUCUACUGUGUUUUCAUACUGUGUUUACAUUGUGUUACAAUUAAAAUGUCAAUUUAAAUGUAUAUUUCUUAGUGUAAAUCUGUAUAGAUUGAAAUAAAACUUCUUGUGUUCUUUGACAAUGUGUUAUUGUUUAUAAUAAACAUGAUUUUACAUGCUA